This 137-nucleotide ribosomal RNA is filed under the name uncultured eukaryote. RNAcentral describes it as "partial 18S ribosomal RNA". It matches the Rfam family "Eukaryotic small subunit ribosomal RNA", at positions 1299 to 1458 of the family's 1831-position model. The record is from RNAcentral.
UGGUGGGGUGACUUGUCUGCUUAAUUGCGAUAACGAACGAGACCUUAACCUGCUAAAUAGCCCGCAUUGCUCCGGCAGUGCGCUAGCUUCUUAGAGGGACUUUCGGCUCAAGCCGAAGGAAGUUUGAGGCAAUAACA